This 332-nucleotide unclassified non-coding RNA is filed under the name uncultured Ceratobasidiaceae. RNAcentral's name for it is "sequence contains 5.8S rRNA gene". Lineage: Eukaryota; Fungi; Basidiomycota; Agaricomycetes; Cantharellales; Ceratobasidiaceae. The record is from RNAcentral.
GAACGCACCUUGCGCUCCUUGGUUAUUCCUUGGAGCAUGCCUGUUUGAGUAUCAUGAGCAAAUCUCAAAGUCGAUUCCUUUUGUUAAUUCAAUUGGUUUUUUGCUUUGGACUUGGAGGCCUUGCAGAUUUCACGUCUGCUCCUCUUAAAUGCAUUAGCUGGAUCUCAGUAUUAUGCUUUGGUUCCACUCGGCGUGAUAAUUAUCACUCGCUGAGGACACUGUUAAAAAGGUGGCCAGGAAAAUACUGAUUGAACCGCUUCUAAUGGUCUAUUAAGUUAGACAAUUACCCUUAAGUUUGAUCUCAAAUCAGGUAGGACUACCCGCUGAACUUA